RNAcentral lists this ribosomal RNA (468 nucleotides) under uncultured bacterium. RNAcentral's name for it is "partial 16S ribosomal RNA". It matches the Rfam family "Bacterial small subunit ribosomal RNA", at positions 29 to 523 of the family's 1533-position model. The record is from RNAcentral.
AACGAACGCUGGCGGCGUGCCUAACACAUGCAAGUCGAGCGAUCUUCUUCGGAAGAGAGCGGCGGACGGGUGAGUAACGCGUGGGUAACCUGCCCUGUACACACGGAUAACAUACCGAAAGGUAUGCUAAUACGAGAUAAUAUGCUUUUAUCGCAUGAUAGAAGUAUCAAAGCUUUUGCGGUACAGGAUGGACCCGCGUCUGAUUAGCUAGUUGGUAAGGUAACGGCUUACCAAGGCGACGAUCAGUAGCCGACCUGAGAGGGUGAUCGGCCACAUUGGAACUGAGACACGGUCCAAACUCCUACGGGAGGCAGCAGUGGGGAAUAUUGCACAAUGGGCGAAAGCCUGAUGCAGCAACGCCGCGUGAGCGAUGAAGGCCUUCGGGUCGUAAAGCUCUGUCCUCAAGGAAGAUAAUGACGGUACUUGAGGAGGAAGCCCCGGCUAACUACGUGCCAGCCGCCGCCGUAA